UAGGGAAUAUUGGACAAUGGGGGCAGCCCUGAUCCAGCCAUGCCGCGUGAGUGAAGAAGGCCCUCGGGUUGUAAAGCUCUUUUGUCCGGAAAGAAAAGCAUUCGGUGAAUACCCGGAUGUUCUGACGGUACCGGAAGAAUAAGCACCGGCUAACUUCGUGCCAGCAGCCGCGGUAAUACGAAGGGUGCAAGCGUUACUCGGAAUUACUGGGCGUAAAGCGUGCGUAGGUGGUUGUGUAAGUCUGAUGUGAAAGCCCUGGGCUCAACCUGGGAAUGGCAUUGGAAACUGGGCAGCUAGAGUGCGGUAGAGGGUAGUGGAAUUCCCGGUGUAGCAGUGAAAUGCGUAGAGAUCGGGAGGAACAUCUGUGGCGAAGGCGACUGCCUGGACCAGCACUGACACUGAGGCACGAAAGCGUGGGGAGCAAACA
This 427-nucleotide ribosomal RNA is filed under the name uncultured bacterium. Its description in RNAcentral is "bacterial SSU rRNA". It matches the Rfam family "Bacterial small subunit ribosomal RNA", at positions 355 to 774 of the family's 1533-position model. The record is from RNAcentral.